AUGCAGGAGUUCCUACCACACACACAACCCCAGGUGCUGGAUGCAAAUUUCCUCCCACCACCACCUUGCCUGCCCCCCCCCCACACACACACACACACACACACAGUGUCCUUUUGUGCACUUGGGACUGCAUCCAGAAGGGUAGGCUGCCAUUUCUGGAUCAGUGUGCAUAAUAUAUAUAUAUAUAUAUAUAUAUAUCCACUAUAUAUAUCAUAGUGUACAAGAGUGCCCUGUGUAAAUAGGUCUAUUUUGCAUUCCUUUCAGGAGUGUGUGAUGAUUUCUGACUCCAGUUAUCUAAUGCACUUAGAUAUCUAUCCUUGCAAUCUUACUGAAUGUAUGAAGAAUGAGGGGAAAAUCAAACCUUAUUUUUGUACAGUUUGGAACUUUAUACUUGGAGCCUGACCACCUCAUCCUAGUGGAAAGAUGUACAGUGUGAAAAUCUGCUUUUACCUUGGAUUGGUACAGUAUUUUUGCAUCUGUGGGACCUACUUUUUGUUGUUCUAGUAGUUUGAACUAUAUAUAAACUGUACAAUCUGUAAAGUUUUUAUAGAAUAAAUAUUCAGCUGUGAACUGGUUAAAAUAAAACUAAUAUUUCUUAACACCUCUUAUAAGUGCUGCAAUAUGUAGUCCUCUUUCUCCACCCCCAUUCCCCCCACCACUCCCAGAAAUAGCUCACUCCAGCCUUUCAAGUCAUUUUAAACUGCACAUUUUAAAAUAUUUUUUGUAAAUACAGAUAGGUUUCCCUCGGACUGUACUCCUUAAUUUUCUCAAUUGCCAAUACAGCACAUUAAAGAAAAUGAAAUAUCAACACAUUACCUCUUCAAUCUGUUACCCAUCUUAGAUGCUUGAAUGCAGUUAAAAGAGGUUUACGUCUUGGUUGGUGUUAUGUGAAAAAUUCAAACUCUUCUGGGAAUUGCACUUGCAUUAUCUCUUCGACCCAAAACAAAAAGGAAAGAAAAAAGUACAUUAAGUUAUUCUGUUUCCAAAUUACUAAUGUCUUCAUGCAGUUACAAGAACAAUUAGUGUACAUUUCCUGCAAUUUUAGAAUAUAGGCCAGUCUUUGGAUUGCCACACAUUUCAAUACAUUUCCCACCCGUCUCUUAAUUGCUGUUUCUCUGAAAUACACCCAUUGAGCACCUGCAUGCUCUGGACAUUAAACACCAAAAUAAUGGGAAACCAGUCCACAGAUGCAUGGGAAAAAAUCCAGCUUUUCACAUUUCAAGCCAUAUUAUUUUUCAUGGUCAUAUUUGAACUGCUUGGCAGUAAACACUGAUAAAACACAUUCCUAGUUUUGGCAUGAUACUAAUGGGCAGCCUUUAAACAAAUUUAAUAAUAAGUAGUUUUAUAUUUAGUUUUUGCAUCAUGAGAAAAAUCUUCAUGGGCAACAGUAAGUAUAUUUAAUAUUUGUUUUUCUUCAUGUUGAGAGCUUUUGCUAAUUGAACAAUUUAUAAAAACUAUAAAUAUCUUUCUGAAGAAAGAUUGAGGAAAUGUAGAGGUUUAGGAACAUAUCUGUCCUUCACUUAAGCAAUGCUUUCAGCAAAUUUUAAACAUAUAAUGAAACAGCAGCAGAAUAAAAAAUAAAUGCAAGUUAGAAUAAAAAAUAAAUGCAAGUUAGAAUAAAAAAUAAAUGCAAGUUCAGAUUGCAUUACUGGUGUCCGAAGAGGCCUUUGCCUGUUCUGAACUAAUAGCAAAGUGGGCGAAAGCUUAACCUCCCUGGAAAUGAAAUUUUAAUGUUUGUGCGCAACAGGAAAAAGCCUCUAUCCAGACACAAUCCACCCUCAGACUUCUGGAAAUAAGUGCACCCAGAAGCAGUUCUCCAGUGGACAAAAACACCUUUAGGCAAAUGUGGGAAAAGGCUGUCUCUAAGACAUAAAAUUUUUUAAUGCUUCAUAAAUGCAUUUGCUAAUCCAUCUGAGGACUAGUUAUCCUUUCCCCAUCUGCUUGUUUGUUUUUGUACAUUGCAGAGUCUGGUCUUACUGCUUUGUGCUCUAGUGCAAUGGACCAAAGGACAGGAAUGGAACAGUUGCAUCUACCUGUUCCUUGCAGCAUCCUCACUCUUAGGAGCCCUGAGCUGCUACGUGUCUCAGUAGCAGAGGAUCACUUCAAGGUAUCCGGCACUCGCUGCCACAUGCAGGCACUUUGCAACCUGGCAAAGGCUCUCAGCCUACUGUUUAAGAAAUUAUGUAGCAAGUAAGUUAUGCUUGUCGAAUCCCAACUGCAGGCAUCAAAUUGACACUGGAAAAUCGAUCCAGGCAGGAGUGAACACAUCUGUUCAUACGUACUUAAAUCUGUGAUUCCACAUUGGUGUACAUGCUUAGAACACACACAAAAAUUACCCCUGAAUAUGUAACAUUGCUGCACAUUUGAAUAAGUUCCCCCCUUCCUGCUCGCUCACUCGCUCGCUCUCUCUCUCGCAACCAGUGGCUUAAUAGUCUCUUAAAUCUCUGGACUGAAUGGUGUGGUUCAAAUUCACACAACCAAAAGCUAUUUGGAUAUUUACAAUAUGAAGUCAAGUUCAUGUAUUGCAUAAUUGCU
Long non-coding RNA from Varanus komodoensis (Komodo dragon), 2535 nucleotides. The record is from Ensembl. Lineage: Eukaryota; Metazoa; Chordata; Lepidosauria; Squamata; Varanidae.